UUUCUUUGCUGUUUUGUAAUUCUUUUAGCAUAUCCGAUAACUGACUUUCAGUACUAACCCAGAUAGGUUCUGUUUCGUCGACAGAGCCAGUAUCGAUGGGAUUAGACAUUUCUGAAACCCAUGGAGGAUAUACGCUAUUUUGUAUUUCUGGUUCAUAUGGAUGUGGUAACGAGUUUUUGAGACUAGGGUCCAAUUUGACUUGAGCGAUAAUCUUUUCGAGCGGUACUAACGAAUGUGGUUUUUCAGUUAACUUCCAAGACCACACAAACUCCCUGGAAUUAUUAGGCUGUACUCGAAACCUUAAUUGAGGCUUAGUAAGAUGAGCUGCGUGAAUAACCUUGUAGGGCAACUUUUCUUUCUUUGGUUUUUUAUUGGCAACAUCGCUUGUCGACGCAUGGGUUUCGAUCGCUGGCUUUUUUAAAAGUCCUUGAGCUUUAUCGAUAGAAUAGUCCUAUAUUCAUACGUCUUAGUUAAAUAAAAUCCGUUUACAAUUUCAAAAAUUCACUUACAGCUUUUUCAAAGAGUAUGUCUAAUGUGUCCGAUACUUCUGCCCAUCUAUUAUCUAUAUCUUCAACGUCCACAAUAUCCUCCGCCCGACUUCUGUCUACUUUAGAAAGAAGCAAUUCAAUUAAUCUCAUAAAACGAGAAGAAACACUUUUUAUGUUUUCAUUGAAUUCGGUAUCAAUUGAUUUAUAAAACGGUAUAUCAACCUUUGCCAAUUCAGAGCAAUAGGCUGUACUAUUCAUUAAACCCUUAAACAAUUCUGACUCAUCCAUUAUGCUAUUGUUUACCCUACUGGAUCAGUAAGGUUUUUGGUUUGGUUCAGGAAUUUUCAAGCACUUUUACCACACGCUCAACGAAUUACCGAACUUGAAUAUAGACAUCGUUAAAGUACGAAAUACAAGAGCUAUUUUUAUAUAUAUAAAAUAUUUUACACAAAUGCAAAAUCUUAGCAGAAUUAUGUAAAAGCAAUUAUUUAUGAUUAGUUCAAAAUUGUGAAACUAUUAGCAGGCAACUAUAGAGAGGUCUUUUAUAAUAUAGGCAUUCAAUUUUGAUCAAAAAGUAAAAAAAUAAUCAAAGUAGAUGAAUUACAAAUUUAAAAACUUCGGAUAAUCUAGAAUGGAUGAAACAAUCAAAUCAGUUGGAUCAUCGAGCGUCCUUUUUUGGAAAAUUAAUGAACGAUAUAUGUAUUGAGACCUUCUAUAAGGAUUAAGAAUUGUAACAGCAACCAUCCCAUGAUGUUGAUGAUGGAUCAACACAUGACUUUCGAAAUAAAAUAUUUAUAUAUGCUUCGAUCUAUAUACGAUAAUUUCGUCGAAUAGUAAACCGUAAGUAGAAGGAAGUACCUGAGAUGCUGAGUAAAAAUAGAACGAAGACCUUUAAGAACUAAAACGCAGAACAAAGUUGAAAGAUCGGCAAAAACUCUACACACUAUUACUCUUAUCAAAGGACAAACCACAUUCAUCUAUUCUAGCAAUUAAAUCCCGUUCGGAGAAAGAAGUCUAAUUUUUGUUCAUCCACUGUUCUUCAUGCCAUGGACCGGCGUCAGAUAGUUCGCAGCCACCUGGACAUUGGCAGUUUCCACCGAGUUUAGCAGGAAGAUUAUCA
Non-coding RNA from Schizosaccharomyces pombe (fission yeast), 1608 nucleotides. NCBI's taxonomy places the organism in Eukaryota, Fungi, Ascomycota, Schizosaccharomycetes, Schizosaccharomycetales, Schizosaccharomycetaceae. The record is from the annotation of a GenBank genome assembly.